UCCGAGUUGACCCCGGCAGUCUCCCAUGAGUCCCCACCAUCACGUGCUGGCAACAUGGAACGAGGGUUGCGCUCGUUGCGGGACUUAACCCAACAUCUCACGACACGAGCUGACGACAACCAUGCACCACCUGUGCACGGCCCUUACGGACCCCGCAUCUCUGCGAGAUUUCCGUGCAUGUCAAGCCUAGGUAAGGUUCUUCGCGUUGCAUCGAAUUAAGCAACAUGCUCCGCCGCUUGUGCGGGCCCCCGUCAAUUCCUUUGAGUUUUAGCCUUGCGGCCGUACUCCCCAGGCGGGGCGCUUAAUGCGUUAGCUGCGGCACGGAGACCGUGGAAUGGCCCCCACACCUAGCGCCCAACGUUUACGGCGUGGACUAC
This 377-nucleotide unclassified non-coding RNA is filed under the name uncultured Geodermatophilaceae bacterium. RNAcentral's name for it is "contains 16S-23S intergenic spacer region". The record is from RNAcentral. Lineage: Bacteria; Bacillati; Actinomycetota; Actinomycetes; Geodermatophilales; Geodermatophilaceae.